UCCCUGGUAUCUUAGAUGGUAAAGAAUCUGCCUGCAAUGCAGGAGACCUGAGUUUGAUCCCUGGGUCGGGAA
Non-coding RNA from Bos taurus (domestic cattle), 72 nucleotides. The record is from Rfam. NCBI's taxonomy places the organism in Eukaryota, Metazoa, Chordata, Mammalia, Artiodactyla, Bovidae.